This 343-nucleotide unclassified non-coding RNA is filed under the name soil metagenome. Its description in RNAcentral is "partial contains 5.8S ribosomal RNA, internal transcribed spacer 2, and large subunit ribosomal RNA". The stretch from base 1 to 120 matches the Rfam family "5.8S ribosomal RNA", at positions 35 to 154 of the family's 154-position model. The record is from RNAcentral.
GAUGAAGAACGCAGCGAAAUGCGAUAAGUAGUGUGAAUUGCAGAAUUCAGUGAAUCAUCGAAUCUUUGAACGCACAUUGCGCCCGCCAGCAUUCUGGCGGGCAUGCCUGUUCGAGCGUCAUUUCAACCCUCGACCUCCCUUUGGGGAAGUCGGCGUUGGGGACCGGCAGCACACCGCCGGCCCUGAAAUGGAGUGGCGGCCCGUCCGCGGCGACCUCUGCGUAGUAAACCAACUCGCACCGGAACCCCGACGUGGCCACGCCGUAAAACACCCAACUUCUGAACGUUGACCUCGAAUCAGGUAGGACUACCCGCUGAACUUAAGCAUAUCAAUAAGCGGAGGA